CCCUAUGGGGUGCAGCAGGCACAGAUAUAAUAAACUUAUUCGCUCAGAUGCCUGCCGAACAGCGCAGCCAAAUACUGAUGGAAAUCGACCAGCAUCUAGCUGCCUUGGAAGGCACCAUGCUGGACCAAAUGGCAGUACGAGCGAUUGGAGGGGAGUAUACAGCCCUGGGAACAGAUCUGCAGGAGGUUCAGACCAAUUACAUCCUGCGGAGUGGCGUGCAGAUGAUCCUGAUGGCACUUCUGGCUGCGGCGACGUCCAUUAGCGUCAGUUACCUGGCAGCCCGGACUUCCGCCAGCGUGGCACGAGAUAUUCGCUCGGCUUUGUUUAAACAUGUGGAGCAGUUCUCUAGCUCGGAAUUCAACAAUUUUUCCACUGCUUCCUUGAUCACGCGUACCACUAACGACAUUUCCCAAGUACAGCAGGUAGUUUUCAUGGUCAUGCGCAUGGCUUUCACUGCUCCCAUCAUGGGAAUUGGCGGGGGAGC
RNAcentral lists this ribosomal RNA (484 nucleotides) under uncultured prokaryote. RNAcentral describes it as "partial 16S ribosomal RNA". The record is from RNAcentral.